This 496-nucleotide ribosomal RNA is filed under the name uncultured bacterium. RNAcentral describes it as "SSU rRNA". It matches the Rfam family "Bacterial small subunit ribosomal RNA", at positions 26 to 518 of the family's 1533-position model. The record is from RNAcentral.
AGGAUAAACGCUGGCGGCGUGCCUAACACAUGCAAGUCGAACGUCCUUGCGGUCUUCUUCUUCGGAGGAGGACCGCGAGGGAGUGGCGGACGGGUGAGUAACACAUGGGUACCUGCCUUUCAGUGAGGAAUACCGGCGAGAAAUCGCCGACAAGACCGCAUAGGCUUCCUUCGGUAGCCCGAGGGAAGCAAAGUUACUUCGCGAGAGGUGACGCUGGAAGAGGGGCCUGUGGCCGAUUAGCUAGUUGGGGGGUAACGGCCUCCCAAGGCGACGAUCGGUAGCUGGUCUGAGAGGACGAUCAGCCACACUGGGAUUGAGAACGGCCCAGACUCCUACGGGGGGCAGGCAGUGAGGAAUUUUCCGCAAUGGACGAAAGUCUGACGGAGCAACGCCGCGUGCAGGAGGAAGGUUUUCGGAUCGUAAACUGCUUUUCUCGGGGACGAGCAAGGACGGUACCCGAGGAAGAAGCCCCGGCUAACUACGUGCCAGCAGCCGC